GAUGAACGCUGGCGGCGUGCCUAAUACAUGCAAGUCGAGCGGACGGACGAGAAGCUUGCUUCUCUGAUGUUAGCGGCGGACGGGUGAGUAACACGUGGAUACCCUACCUAUAAGACGGGGAUAACUUCGGGAAACCGGAGCUAAUACCGGAUAAUAUUUUGAACCGCAUGGUUCAAAAGUGAAAGACGGUCUUGCUGUAACUUAUAGAGGGAUCCGCGCUGCAUUAGCUAGUUGGUAAGGUAACGGCUUACCAAGGCAACGAUGCAUAGCCGGCCUGAGAGGGUGAUCGGCCACACUGGAACUGAGACACGGUCCAGACUCCUACGGGAGGCAGCAGUAGGGAACCUUACGCAAUGGGCGAAAGCCUGACGGAGCAACGCCGCGUGAGUGAUGAAGGUCUUCGGAUCGUAAAACUCUGUUAUGAGGGAAGAACAUAUGUGUAAGUAACUGUGCACAUCUUGACGGUACCUAAUCAGAAAGCCACGGCUAACUACGUG
RNAcentral lists this ribosomal RNA (497 nucleotides) under uncultured bacterium. Its description in RNAcentral is "partial 16S ribosomal RNA". It matches the Rfam family "Bacterial small subunit ribosomal RNA", at positions 28 to 507 of the family's 1533-position model. The record is from RNAcentral.